RNAcentral lists this ribosomal RNA (277 nucleotides) under uncultured Eubacteriales bacterium. RNAcentral describes it as "uncultured Clostridiales bacterium partial 16S ribosomal RNA". It matches the Rfam family "Bacterial small subunit ribosomal RNA", at positions 61 to 339 of the family's 1533-position model. The record is from RNAcentral. Lineage: Bacteria; Bacillati; Bacillota; Clostridia; Eubacteriales. RNAcentral also lists the same sequence under 1 other name.
AAGCCCUCGGGUGGAACUGUGAGUAUACUUAGUGGCGGACGGGUGAGUAACGCGUGAGCAAUCUGCCCUGCAAUGGGGGACAACAGUUGGAAACGACUGCUAAUACCGCAUAAGACCACGAAACCGCAUGGUUUAGAGGUAAAAGGAUUCAUUCGAUGCAGGAUGAGCUCGCGUCCCAUUAGAUAGUUGGUGAGGUAACGGCCCACCAAGUCAACGAUGGGUAGCCGACCUGAGAGGGUGAUCGGCCACAUUGGAACUGAGAAACGGUCCAAACUCC